Molecule: long non-coding RNA, 1298 nt
Organism: Drosophila mojavensis
Lineage: Eukaryota; Metazoa; Arthropoda; Insecta; Diptera; Drosophilidae
Exons: 2
Source: RefSeq, a predicted model, not a curated record
GACUUUGCUCUUAAUUUUCAUACUUGGAUUGGUGCUUCCGGUUAUUCAUAUUUCAUCUGCCACUGCCACUGAAACUUAGUCAAAAGGCUGCAUGGUUGCAAACAUAAUCUCAACUCUCUCUCUCUCUCUCUCUCUCUAUCUAUCUGUCUUUUAGCCAAUGCGCUUGCGAGCUGAUUGCAAAUGUUGAAUGGAAACCUCAGAGAUGACUUUACGUCCCCCCGGCCACCCAAACCCUUCAGCAUGCGACUUAUGCAUACAUAUAUUGAGCAUUUUUAGUUGGUUCAUUGUUUUUUUUUUUUUUUUUUUUUUUUUUGGGUGUGGCUAGGCCUGCCCGCCUGCUAGUAAUGCGAUAAACGAAGUGCAACCCAUACGGAACACUCGUUGCCCAUAACAACCCAAAGUAUUCAUGCAAUAUACACGAAAAUUUAAUUGGCCAUUUAAUGGAAAAAUAAUUAGCAACAGACUGCCAUGUUGCUGCAGCAUCAACAACAACAACAACAACAGCAACAAUGGCAAUUGUUGAAAAUUGAAAAACCGUCUCACAUAUUGCUAACAGAGAAUAAAAUGUCAUAUUUAUUAUACAUAAUGGGGAGAAAAAGAGAAAUACAAAAUGAGAGCCAGAUAACUAUAAAUUUCAAUACAUCAAUCAAUAUAUUACAAAUUUAUAAUUUCACAUGUGCAACAAAAAGACAUAAAUAAAGCUGUUAAAAACAUGUCUACGAUAUAUCGAUGGAUUUAGUUCGAUAUUAAUAUAUCGGCUUACUUAGCGACGGGCCGAAGCCACGACUUUUAAAGCUUUAUUUAUAUGUCUUGUCUUAAUUAAAUCAUAAUGAUUUUGUAAGCUAUUAAGUCGAUCGAUUGGAGCAACUAUCGACUGUACCCGUUUAUCGAUGAUUUUGCAGCCCUACAAAUGAAUUCAAAUUCCAAUUUGUUCGAAGAACAAAGUAAACUUCAGUUGAAAUUAAAAAUAUGGAUUGAUUACAUCUUGUGAUAUACCCUUUGUGAAAUACAUCCAUUACAGGGUACAGAUACAUGAAUUUAUCAUUAACGUUAUGUAAAGUCUUGUUAACGUUUCAAAUACAUAAAACGUUAUGUGUAUUUACAGAUGGCAUGUUCGAAAUACAUUUUUGCAUAUUUGACAUAUUAACCAGCGCUGUUUUUGACAGAAAUUAGCAAGGGUGAGCGGCAGAGUGCAGACAUGGGACACGCCUAUGUAAAGCACGCAAUAAAAUGCCAGGCGACAGAGGCAGAAUAAAAAAAUGAAAUAAAAACAACAACGAGAGAAAAUACCAACAAAA